GAGAGUUUGAUCCUGGCUCAGGACGAACGCUGGCGGCGUGCCUAAUACAUGCAAGUCGAACGCUUCUUUUUCCACCGGAGCUUGCUCCACCGGAAAAAGAGGAGUGGCGAACGGGUGAGUAACACGUGGGUAACCUGCCCAUCAGAAGGGGAUAACACUUGGAAACAGGUGCUAAUACCGUAUAACAAUCAAAACCGCAUGGUUUUGAUUUGAAAGGCGCUUUCGGGUGUCGCUGAUGGAUGGACCCGCGGUGCAUUAGCUAGUUGGUGAGGUAACGGCUCACCAAGGCCACGAUGCAUAGCCGACCUGAGAGGGUGAUCGGCCACAUUGGGACUGAGACACGGCCCAAACUCCUACGGGAGGCAGCAGUAGGGAAUCUUCGGCAAUGGACGAAAGUCUGACCGAGCAACGCCGCGUGAGUGAAGAAGGUUUUCGGAUCGUAAAACUCUGUUGUUAGAGAAGAACAAGGAUGAGAGUAACUGUUCAUCCCUUGACGGUAUCUAACCAGAAAGCCACGGCUAACUACGUGCCAGCAGCCGCGGUAAUACGUAGGUGGCAAGCGUUGUCCGGAUUUAUUGGGCGUAAAGCGAGCGCAGGCGGUUUCUUAAGUCUGAUGUGAAAGCCCCCGGCUCAACCGGGGAGGGUCAUUGGAAACUGGGAGACUUGAGUGCAGAAGAGGAGAGUGGAAUUCCAUGUGUAGCGGUGAAAUGCGUAGAUAUAUGGAGGAACACCAGUGGCGAAGGCGGCUCUCUGGUCUGUAACUGACGCUGAGGCUCGAAAGCGUGGGG
This 788-nucleotide ribosomal RNA is filed under the name Enterococcus faecium 513. RNAcentral describes it as "bacterial SSU rRNA". It matches the Rfam family "Bacterial small subunit ribosomal RNA", at positions 8 to 766 of the family's 1533-position model. Lineage: Bacteria; Bacillati; Bacillota; Bacilli; Lactobacillales; Enterococcaceae. The record is from RNAcentral.